UGGAGGGCAAGUCUGGUGCCAGCAGCCGCGGUAAUUCCAGCUCCAAUAGCGUAUAUUAAAGUUGUUGCAGUUAAAAAGCUCGUAGUUGAAUUUCGGGAUCAAUAUGUUGGUCGUGCUUCGGUACGUACUGGUAUUAUUGGUUUCUCCCUUCUGAAGAACCUUGAUGUCAUUAAUUUGGUGUCUUGGGGAAUCAGGACUGUUACUUUGAAAAAAUUAGAGUGUUUA
RNAcentral lists this ribosomal RNA (225 nucleotides) under uncultured Septoglomus. RNAcentral describes it as "partial small subunit ribosomal RNA". It matches the Rfam family "Eukaryotic small subunit ribosomal RNA", at positions 549 to 777 of the family's 1831-position model. The record is from RNAcentral. Lineage: Eukaryota; Fungi; Glomeromycota; Glomeromycetes; Glomerales; Glomeraceae.